UGGCGAACGGGUGAGUAACACGUGGGUAACCUGCCCAUCAGAAGGGGAUAACACUUGGAAACAGGUGCUAAUACCGUAUAACACUAUUUUCCGCAUGGAAGAAAGUUGAAAGGCGCUUUUGCGUCACUGAUGGAUGGACCCGCGGUGCAUUAGCUAGUUGGUGAGGUAACGGCUCACCAAGGCAACGAUGCAUAGCCGACCUGAGAGGGUGGUCGGCCACACUGGGACUGAGACACGGCCCAGACUCCUACGGGAGGCAGCAGUAGGGAAUCUUCGGCAAUGGACGAAAGUCUGACCGAGCAACGCCGCGUGAGUGAAGAAGGUUUUCGGAUCGUAAAACUCUGUUGUUAGAGAAGAACAAGGAUGAGAGUAAAACGUUCAUCC
Molecule: ribosomal RNA, 384 nt
Filed under: Enterococcus casseliflavus
Lineage: Bacteria; Bacillati; Bacillota; Bacilli; Lactobacillales; Enterococcaceae
Description: bacterial SSU rRNA
Rfam family: Bacterial small subunit ribosomal RNA
Source: RNAcentral